Molecule: ribosomal RNA, 301 nt
Filed under: uncultured bacterium
Lineage: Bacteria
Description: partial 16S ribosomal RNA
Rfam family: Bacterial small subunit ribosomal RNA
Source: RNAcentral
CAGUAGCCGCGGGAAUACAGAGGGUGCGAGCGUUAAUCGGAUUUACUGGGCGUAAAGCGUGCGUAGGCGGCUUUUUAAGUCGGAUGUGAAAUCCCUGAGCUUAACUUAGGAAUUGCAUUCGAUACUGGGAAGCUAGAGUAUGGGAGAGGAUGGUAGAAUUCCAGGUGUAGCGGUGAAAUGCGUAGAGAUCUGGAGGAAUACCGAUGGCGAAGGCAGCCAUCUGGCUUAAUACUGACGCUGAGGUACGAAAGCAUGGGGAGCAAACAGGAUUAGAUACCCCAGUAGUCCCUGUCUCUUAUAC